AGUGAACGCUGGCGGUAGGCCUAACACAUGCAAGUCGAACGGCAGCACAGUAAGAGCUUGCUCUUACGGGUGGCGAGUGGCGGACGGGUGAGGAAUACAUCGGAAUCUACUUUUUCGUGGGGGAUAACGUAGGGAAACUUACGCUAAUACCGCAUACGACCUACGGGUGAAAGCAGGGGAUCUUCGGACCUUGCGCGAUUGAAUGAGCCGAUGUCGGAUUAGCUAGUUGGCGGGGUAAAGGCCCACCAAGGCGACGAUCCGUAGCUGGUCUGAGAGGAUGAUCAGCCACACUGGAACUGAGACACGGCCCAGACUCCUACGGGAGGCAGCAGUGGGGAAUAUUGGACAAUGGGCGCAAGCCUGAUCCAGCCAUACCGCGUGGGUGAAGAAGGCCUUCGGGUUGUAAAGCCCUUUUGUUGGGAAAGAAAAGCAGCAGGUUAAUACCCCGCUGUUCGGACGGUACCCAAAGAAUAAGCACCGGCGAACUUCGU
This 491-nucleotide ribosomal RNA is filed under the name uncultured bacterium. RNAcentral describes it as "partial 16S ribosomal RNA". It matches the Rfam family "Bacterial small subunit ribosomal RNA", at positions 29 to 506 of the family's 1533-position model. The record is from RNAcentral.